Molecule: ribosomal RNA, 440 nt
Filed under: uncultured bacterium
Lineage: Bacteria
Description: partial 16S ribosomal RNA
Rfam family: Bacterial small subunit ribosomal RNA
Source: RNAcentral
CCUACGGGUGGCAGCAGUGGGGAAUAUUGCACAAUGGGGGAAACCCUGAUGCAGCGACGCCGCGUGGGUGAAGAAGUAUUUCGGUAUGUAAAGCUCUAUCAGCAGGGAAGAAACAGACGGUACCUGAGGAAGAAGCCCCGGCUAACUACGUGCCAGCAGCCGCGGUAAUACGUAGGGGGCAAGCGUUAUCCGGAUUUACUGGGCGUAAAGGGAGCGUAGGCGGGGAAGGAAGUCUGAAGUGAAAGCCCGCGGCUUAACCGCAGAACUGCUUUGGAAACUUUUUUGCUGGAGUACCGGAGAGGUAAGCGGAAUUCCUGGUGUAGCGGUAAAAUGCGUAGAGAUUAAGAGGAACACCAGUGGCGAAGGCGGCUUACUAGACGGUAACUGACGUUGAGGCUCGAAAGCGUGGGGAGCAAACAGGAUUAGAUACCCGUGUAGUC